GGCUGCAGUAAGGUUGAUGAGUUAUUAUCUUCUAGCUUUAUUGUUGUUCAGGAAAACUGAUAAUGGCGAUUAAUCAGAUGAGCCAAAAGGACUGAUAUUAAGUGAAAGAACUAGACUACUACAGCAUAUAGCAUAAUCUUAAAAUGAGUUAGACAAGUGGAAAAACAGGCAUGAGGCCUGCUGCUGAGUCUAUGCUGCUAGGCAAUUGGAGUUCAAGGGUGAUUUUGCAAGCCUU
This 235-nucleotide unclassified non-coding RNA is filed under the name Hevea brasiliensis (rubber tree). The record is from RNAcentral. Lineage: Eukaryota; Viridiplantae; Streptophyta; Magnoliopsida; Malpighiales; Euphorbiaceae.